GGACUGGCAGCAGGACCUUCAGGUGGAUGGGUAGCAGGACCAUCAGGUUGACUGAUAGCAGGACCUUCAGUUGGACUGGCAGCAGGACCUUCAGGGGGACUGGCAGCAAGACCUUUAGAAGGAUGGGUAGCAGGACCUUCAGGUGGAUGGGUAGCAGGACUUUCAGGUGGACUGGCAGUAGGACCUUCAGGUACAUUGGUAGCAGGACCUUCAGGUGGAUGGGUAGCAGGACUUUCAGGUGGACUGGCAGUAGGACCUUCAGGUACAUUGGUAGCAGGACCUUCAGGUGGAUGGGUAGCAGGACUUUCAGGUGGACUGGCAGUAGGACCUUCAGGUACAUUGGUAGCAGGACCUUCAGGUGGAUGGGUAGCAGGACUUUCAGGUGGACUGGCAGUAGGACCUUCAGGUACAUUGGUAGCAGGACCUUCAGGUGGACUGGCAGCAGGACCUUCAG
Astyanax mexicanus (Mexican tetra) is the source of this 454-nucleotide long non-coding RNA. RefSeq lists it as uncharacterized. The record is from RefSeq and is a predicted model, not a curated record. The transcript is spliced from 4 exons. NCBI's taxonomy places the organism in Eukaryota, Metazoa, Chordata, Actinopteri, Characiformes, Acestrorhamphidae.